UUUCUACUCACUUUGUCCGGAAAUACUUGUCAUUAAAAUGAAUAAAAAGGGAUGUAUCUAGAUGUAUUUUAGUUAGAUACAUCUUUUUUAUCCAUUCUGAAAACAAGUAUUUUCAUACGGAGGGAGUAUUUA
Molecule: non-coding RNA, 132 nt
Organism: Triticum urartu
Lineage: Eukaryota; Viridiplantae; Streptophyta; Magnoliopsida; Poales; Poaceae
Source: Rfam